UACAGAGGGUGCGAGCGUUAAUCGGAUUUACUGGGCGUAAAGCGUGCGUAGGCGGCUUUUUAAGUCGGAUGUGUAAUCCCUGAGCUUAACUUAGGAAUUGCAUUCGAUACUGGGAAGCUAGAGUAUGGGAGAGGAUGGUAGAAUUCCAGGUGUAGCGGUGAAAUGCGUAGAGAUCUGGAGGAAUACUGAUGGCGAAGGCAGCCAUCUGGCCUAAUACUGACGCUGGGGUACGAAGGCAUGGGGAGCAAACAGG
Molecule: ribosomal RNA, 253 nt
Filed under: uncultured bacterium
Lineage: Bacteria
Description: partial 16S ribosomal RNA
Rfam family: Bacterial small subunit ribosomal RNA
Source: RNAcentral